ACCAUCCUUUUCCUGGGGUAGCGCUACUGUCCAAUGAAUGAGUAGUAAGGGCAGUACUGCUAACGCCUACACAACAUGCCCGCAUCAACUAGAGCUUUGCUUUACUUUGGUGCAAUUUUUGGAAAA
Molecule: small nuclear RNA, 126 nt
Organism: Prolemur simus (greater bamboo lemur)
Lineage: Eukaryota; Metazoa; Chordata; Mammalia; Primates; Lemuridae
Source: Ensembl